AGUGAACGCUGGCGGUAGGCCUAACACAUGCAAGUCGAACGGCAGCACAGGAGAGCUUGCUCUCUGGGUGGCGAGUGGCGGACGGGUGAGGAAUACAUCGGACUCUACUUUUUCGCGGGGGAGAACGUAGGGAAACUUACGCUAAUACCGCAUACGACCUACGGGUGCAUGUAGGGGAUCUUACGACCUUGCGCGAUUCAAUGAGCCGAUGUCGGAUGAGCUUGUUGGGGGGCUAAAGGCCGACCAAGGCGACGAUCCGUAGCUGGUCUGCGAGGAUGAUCAGCCACACUAGACCUGAGACACGGGCCAGACUCCUACGGGAGUCAGCAGUGGGGAAUAUUGGACAAUGGGCGCAAGCCUGAUCCAGCCAUACCGCGUGGGUGAAGAAGGCCAUCGGGUUGUAAAGCCCUUUUGUUGGGAAAGAAAUCCAGCUGGUUAAUACCCGGUUGGGAUGACGGUACCCAAAGAAUAAGCACCGGCUAACCUCGUGCCAGCCGCCGCGGUAA
This 506-nucleotide ribosomal RNA is filed under the name uncultured bacterium. RNAcentral describes it as "partial 16S ribosomal RNA". It matches the Rfam family "Bacterial small subunit ribosomal RNA", at positions 29 to 523 of the family's 1533-position model. The record is from RNAcentral.